AUGGCGGCGUCGAUAAAGCAUGCAAGUCGAAAGGGUUUACACCCUUGGCAAACGGGUCCGGAACGCGUAGGAAUUUACCUCGAAGUCGCGAAUAACUCGGAGAAAUCCGUGACAAUACGCGAUGUGCUCUACGGAGCAAAUAUUUACCGCCUCGAGAGAAGCCUGCGUCCUACCAGCUUGUUGGUAUUGUAAUGGCUUACCAAGGCUAUGACGGGUAUGGGGUGUGACAGCAUGGCCCCCAACAUUGGCACUGAGACCCUGGCCACACUCCUACGGGUGGCUGCAGUCCAAAAUAUUCCACAAUGGACGAAAGUCUGAUGGACCGACCCCGCGUGCAUGAACAACGGCCUUCGGGUUUGUAAACUGCUUU
This 370-nucleotide ribosomal RNA is filed under the name uncultured bacterium. Its description in RNAcentral is "bacterial SSU rRNA". It matches the Rfam family "Bacterial small subunit ribosomal RNA", at positions 37 to 436 of the family's 1533-position model. The record is from RNAcentral.